UAGAUUCUCAGCUGCGCAAGCCAUGAACCACAGGCAGGGUGUCUGUCAUCUUCUUCCACUAGGAUCUUCUAGAACAUUGUACAUGACAGAAGAAUAAUAUGGCUAUUUCUCCUCUGCAUGAGAGCUUUUGGAGAUAACAGAGAAGAAGCUUUUGGUUGAGCAUGCAGAGAAGAUGGAAGAAAGAAACAAAGAGAUUUCAARUGUGUCUCAGCACAGAAUCACUGUGAAAGGCACACUCUUGAUGUAAGAGUUGUGAAGUCAGCCAAAAUGACAUUCUUUAAAGCCAAAUGGAAAGAAAACGACUUUGAAGCACAGGAARACAUGAACAUUCAGUGCUUCCUUCCGCCCCUGUGGCUUUCAGUGAGGCACACCCAAUGAUUUCUAAGGCUUGCCAAAAUGCCUCAGGUCACAUGUGCUCAUGCUGUAGAUGUCCACAGGUGCUUUGCAAUGAAAGGAGGCGCUGAUAAUGCAUAACAUCAGGUAACACAAAGGAACCUGCCUCUCCCUGACAGGGGAGUAAGCCAACUCAUCUGGACCUGGAGACAGAACAGAAUAGCAGGACAGCAGAUGAGACAUGGGCCACACUGAAAUGCAGAGAAGAAAAUYUUCUCUGAACUUCAGCCAAGUGGUAUGAAGAUAUUUGUGUCUGAAUACCUGGAUGUACUGAUGGAAAAAGCCACAAAAUACUAAAGAGGUAAUUGCAUCCUUGGAAUAACUCCUAACACCUUAAUAAAGGAGCUGAGCUUUUAAAGAGGGUCCGUUCUCUCCAGAGUAUAAAACAGUAAUUUAGAGGUGGUUGUGUAACAACAUGAAAGAAUGCCAGACUACAGCAGUGAAGGAGAAAUGGAUGCAAGGUUUUGCUUUUAGUCUGUCCUUUAUUAACUAUUAAUAAAAACUUGAUAUUAUCCUUUGGUGUUUUUCAACAACCUUUUAAUAAUGUUUAUCUUGGGAGGUUUGUUUUAUCUUAGGAAAUGCAAAAUUUGUGUACACCAUCCCAUAAAUAUUUCCAGGAGAUGAACUCACAGUUUUGCUGUCUGGCAGGAAAGAAAUAGAUAGAAAACAAGUAGAAAACUGCAACAYUGAGUUGCUUGCAUCUAUGUAUUUAACACCCUUUCCAUUACCUUUGACUUGGAGUGUUGGAAUUUUUAUUUUUUUUUUCCAUUAUGAUCUCUAUUUCCGUGGGUUUGGAAUAAAAAUAUCUUCUCCUUGGUUCCAGAUUGAUACCAUUUGAUUGUGAGGCUUUCAAUCAAUUCUUUCAAGGCUGCUGGUGGUGGUGACUAACAGAUAAUUGAAAAGCAACCAGACUAACAAAGUUAGUGACAAGCAGAGAUCAUCAGGAGUCCCUGCAGGGACUGACAGAGCUUCUCCAUGUUAAAUAAGGUUGUAAA
Malurus melanocephalus (red-backed fairy wren) is the source of this 1388-nucleotide long non-coding RNA. RefSeq lists it as uncharacterized. NCBI's taxonomy places the organism in Eukaryota, Metazoa, Chordata, Aves, Passeriformes, Maluridae. The transcript has 7 exons. The record is from RefSeq and is a predicted model, not a curated record.